Molecule: long non-coding RNA, 293 nt
Organism: Periophthalmus magnuspinnatus
Lineage: Eukaryota; Metazoa; Chordata; Actinopteri; Gobiiformes; Gobiidae
Exons: 3
Source: RefSeq, a predicted model, not a curated record
GGAAGCGCAACAGGGCAGCUGCACAGGAGCCACUACCAUUAUCACGGACGCUGAGUAAAGACCGCGGGUUCUGACGCGAACAAGGGGAUUUGGCCAGGUGUGCUCGGGUUGGGCACAAUAUUUGAUGGCGAGCUAGGAGCCCUACCAAGAACUGGAACAUCACAUUCAACUCUACAGCCUUUGCGGUCUGGUAGGAGGCUGUUGCAGCCUGUCCCUCCCAUAGACUCAAACAUUCGCAUUCACAACCUUAACAUAUGGACAAAAGGGGAAAUUUUAUGGACAAUUAAGCCCAU